UACAGAGGGGGCAAGCGUUGUUCGGAAUUACUGGGCGUAAAGGGCGCGUAGGCGGCCCGCUAAGUCGAACGUGAAAUCCCCGAGCUCAACUCGGGAACUGCGUCCGAUACUGGUGGGCUUGAAUCCGGGAGAGGGAUGCGGAAUUCCAGGUGUAGCGGUGAAAUGCGUAGAUAUCUGGAGGAACACCGGUGGCGAAGGCGGCAUCCUGGACCGGCAUUGACGCUGAGACGCGAAAGCUAGGGGAGCGAACAGG
RNAcentral lists this ribosomal RNA (253 nucleotides) under uncultured bacterium. RNAcentral describes it as "partial 16S ribosomal RNA". It matches the Rfam family "Bacterial small subunit ribosomal RNA", at positions 524 to 776 of the family's 1533-position model. The record is from RNAcentral.